RNAcentral lists this long non-coding RNA (1640 nucleotides) under Homo sapiens (human). RNAcentral describes it as "HSALNT0358286". Lineage: Eukaryota; Metazoa; Chordata; Mammalia; Primates; Hominidae. The record is from RNAcentral.
GAUAAGAAGAAUGUAGUUAGAACAAAAAAGUACACAUUUUUGUAAUCUAGUUUCGGUGUUGAAUUUUAGAAAAAGAUGCCGUCUCCAUAUUUGGAUUUUUCUCCAAAGCAUCUACAUCUCUAGCAGCUUCAGUUCUGUGGAUGUGCAUUCAAAAGUAGUUUUGAGAGCUUGUUUGGAGGCUCUAGCAGGCGAGCGUGGCUACUCCUAUGCCCUUGACCUAAGAUUGGUCCUCCUCUAUCAGGGAUGGUCAUCUUCUUCCACUGAGCGCACAGCUUCAGGAGGGACGCACAUGGAAACAAUGAGGGAGAAAAAGGGCACCCGCAUAGCCAGCCUGAUCAGCUGAAUUAAUUCUGGCCAUCAAUGGGGUGACAGAUGUCACAGCCAGAUCACCCUCACAUCCUAAAAAAUGGAAAACAGGAAGCAUCAGUGAAUUUUGGGUGCUCCCGGCAAACUGCCUAAGAAGACGAGGGCAACAUCUUAGUGUGAGAUAAAGCAGAAAGCAGGAAGCACAGAGGAACCUAGUGGAAUGUGGGGUCAUUUUACCCACCAAAUCCAGAUUUGUAUGUAAAUAAGAAAUAAAUAUCUGUUUCAUUUAAGUCACAGUUAAUUUGAGUCUCUAUGAUACACAACGGAGGCUAAAUCCCAACAACUACAAGUAGAUUUAAAGCAAAUAAAUAAAUGGGAUAUUUCUUGCUUAUUUAAGUUUAUAGAUCAAAAUUCAUACCCCUUAGGUUUGUAACACAUUAUGGGAGCCACAAGGAAGCAGUGAUGCGUGUGCAAUAGGGGAGAAGUUUAUUACAGAGCUCAAAGAGAAAGAACAUUUAGACUGGGUUUUGCAGGACAAAUAAGAGUUUGCUAGACAGAGAAGAUAGGGCAAUCCUAGCAAAGUGAAUAGCUUGAACAAAGGAGUGAAGAGGAACUAUACAUGAUUUGGGUGAGAUGUCAACAAUGUAGACAGCCUGAGGUGGGGAAGGAAGGAGGGGACAGAAAAACCUGGUUGAUGCUCUACUGAAUAAGGCUUUGUAUGUAUGCCAUGUUAAGAUUUUUUUUAAAUGUUGCUGUUUGUUUUGUGUUUGAUUUUUGUUUUCUCAUAGAUAAUCUUUUUCUGAGUCAGGAAAACAAUAGGAUCAGAAUCUUGAUCUCUUUUAGAGAAUAACUGGUCGUAGUUUGGACACUAUAAAAGAGAGAAAAAGGCAGAAGCAGACAGGAAGCCCUCUAAGGAGGUGGUUGGCAUAAAAGGCAGGAGAGAAGGAGGAGUUGACUCAAGGCCACGAGAAUGAUAUAGGAAGGGGGUAAAAGAGGAGUCAUUUACUCUGGUUAUGAAUGUUCGUAUCUGCACAAAAGCUAGAAGCAAAUUAUCAUUUCAAGGUAGGCAUGAACAAAGGAUUUCUGCCCUUAAGGAGCUCAUCCUCUGUAGGGAGUAAAUUGGAAAGAUUCAAAUUUAUCUGCUAGGCAAGACUUAAGCAAAAGUAGGGUCUUCUUCAAAUCCACUCAAUUUGUUUGUUUGUUUGUUUGUUUAUUUAUUUAUUUUUGUGGUCAAACCCUGGAGCCACCCUUCUUAAGUUCUAGUAACCAAUUAAUCAUUCUCUUUGAGCUAUUAAUUGAUCUGAGGAUGCUAAAGCUAUAAGACAGAAAAUCAG